AGGCACAGGCUAAGAGAAGAACAUUUCCCCAGUGAGCUCAGUAGAGAUGUGACCACAAGAAGGCAGUGCACCUGUGCUGAUGCAGAACACGUGGAGGGUUCAUUUUAGUGCAUCUGAUUGACUAGGCUAUGGCAGAAGCAGAGUCUUUUUCUUAUUGGCUGGUAGACAAUGUGGGAAAGUACUCUGUUAGAGGAAAGAAGGGACUGCCUGACAAGAAAAGGAGCUGAGCUGGCUGGAGGCUGCAAUUCUGAAGCUGAUCUUAACGGGAGGAACCAUGAAGACAUCCAUGGGACCUUUAAUCAUAUUCUCAUGGCUGCAGCUGAACUGGUUCAGCCAAGGAGAGAAGGUGGAGCAGCAUCCUUCUACCCUGAGUGUGCAGCAGGGAAGCAGCUCUGUUAUCAACUGCAGUUAUUCAGACAGUCUCUCAGACUACUUCCCUUGGUAUAAGCAAGAGUUUGGAAAAGGUCCCCAGCUCCUUAUAGACAUUCGUUCAACCAUGGCCACAAAAGAACACCAAAGAUUCACUGUUUUAUUGAAUAGGACAGCCAAACAUCUCUCCCUGCACAUCGCAGACACCCAGCCUGAAGACUCAGCUGUGUACUUCUGCGCAGCAAGCACACAUUGCUUCCCAGGCACCUGCUGCCUGCACUCAAACCUGGGUGUGGGGCAGCCCCCUGUCCUUUGACACAGACCUUCAAGUAUAGCUUUUGUGCUGUUGUUUGUCUGCAAAUGGAAACUAAUGUGUUAGACGUUAAAGGCAUAUAAUAAGACUAUUAGGAUGGAGAUGACCCAGACAGGGUUAGAACAUUUUGUUGGAUGACUGUUUUUUAAUGGAUUCUUGAAUGGAGCUAGUAAUGUUUUAUUUUGAAAUUCAGGUUUUAAAGAACUAUACAUUUGCCAUUGAGAUUCCUGUCCUUUAAAUAACCCCCGGUACCAAUAUACAGUCCUUUUUAUGGAUGGGCACUUAAAUAUUGUGUUUCAAAAGUAGCAUUUUUAAUUUUUGUGAUCUAAAUAUUUCAUGCCAAAUAUAGAAAUAUGGAAAGUACAAAUAUGAAAGUGAUAAUUCUGUAAUAUAUAAUGUUGCUAAUAUUCUUUUGGUCUCUAAAUGUUU
Non-coding RNA from Callorhinus ursinus (northern fur seal), 1111 nucleotides. Lineage: Eukaryota; Metazoa; Chordata; Mammalia; Carnivora; Otariidae. The record is from the annotation of a RefSeq genome assembly.